AAGCUCUUGUUUCUCUUCAAAUUGUACCGAUCUUUUGACUUUUACUAAAGAUUUCCGUGGAGGGAAAUAUUGCUGAGCUUCUAGAAAAUAUUUUCAUGUCUCGUUUCUAUGAGGCU
Molecule: small nuclear RNA, 116 nt
Filed under: Sphenodon punctatus (tuatara)
Lineage: Eukaryota; Metazoa; Chordata; Lepidosauria; Sphenodontia; Sphenodontidae
Description: U5 spliceosomal RNA (ENSSPUG00000003346.1)
Rfam family: U5 spliceosomal RNA
About the family: U5 RNA is a component of both types of known spliceosome.
Source: Rfam by way of RNAcentral